RNAcentral lists this unclassified non-coding RNA (202 nucleotides) under uncultured Basidiomycota. RNAcentral's name for it is "sequence contains ITS2". Lineage: Eukaryota; Fungi; Basidiomycota. The record is from RNAcentral.
AAUUCUCAACCCCCACUUGGAUUUUAUUAUUCAAGUGUUGUGGAUUGGAUUUUGGGGGUUCCUGCUGGCAGAGUUCAGCUCCUCUUGAAAGAUAUUAGCGAAGUUGCGCCUUGUUUUUGUGGUCGGUGUGAUAAUUUAUCAACACCUAACCCUAGAAUGGGGUUUCGCUUCUAAUCGUCUUUGGACAGACAAUUUUUUGACC